GUUCUUGUCCGUGCUUCCUGUCUAGUAUAAGUGUUUCCAGCAGCAGCAUAACUUUGUUCUUGGAUAACAUAAACUGCAAAUUCUACAUUUCUCCCUUGAAUUCCCUAGACCACGGUUUUUGCCCCACAGGAAGACAAGAAAUCUCGAAAUCUUAAUUUCUUUCUUUUUUUGAAUGCAAGAAAGAUUUUUAAUUUUUGCAAGAAUGGGUGCUUAUAUGAAUAGACUCACCUUUGAAAUUUCAAAGGCAGCAUUUUAUUUCCUAUACAGAAGCACAAGUCCCUCCCCAAUUCCCCAUUAAUUCGAUGUUACUGAGGUUACACAAUAUGAAUGUCUACCUCUCAUUACAUAGCAAUUACCAUCUCCAAGAGGGACUCCAAGUCCCAUUAUAGAAAGGGGGAAGGUAACAAAGGAGGGCUGAGGACCAAGAACAAAUCUUUUCAAGUCUCAGGCCACCAUUCCAGAUUACAAAAGUCAGGAGCUUUCAUUUUUGGGGGGGAAGAUAAACUCCACCUUUGAUUAUUUCUUGAUGUCCUAGUGGGUUUCACUUUUCUAAUUUAAGUUUCCUUUCGUUUCCACAAGAUUUGCUCUUUAUUGAGCUAAUAUGAAUUAUUCAAGCAUCAAGCAAAAGAAAAAGAUACCAGAGAUUUUAUCAUCAAAAUAAAAUGGAGACUCUCAAGGCACUAGUCUAAGGGGGAAAAAAGCAAAAAACAAAAAACCAUGAGAAUCCCAGGGAAAAGAACCUAUAUGUAUAAAAAUAUCAGCAGCUUUUUGUGGUGACAAAGAACUGGAAGGUGAUAUCCAUGAACUGGGAAAUGGUUAAAGCAAUUGUGUUAUAUGAAUUUAAUAGAAUGCUAUAAGACAUUACAAGCAGGUGAAAUUUCAGAAAAACCUGGAAAGAUUUGCAUGAACUGAUGCAAAGUGAAGUCAGCAGAACCAGGAAAUACUUUACAGAGUAACAGCAACACUGUGACAUCAACUGUGACUGCCUUGGCUCUUCUCAGUGAAUGGGAAAAGUUUUCUAUUUCUUCAAAAAGAAACUAACAAUUAACCAAGCUAUAGGAUCAGGUUCCUGUUUUCCCCUGCCUUUCUUAACAAUUCCAAGGUAGGGAUAGACAGAACAGUUCUGGAAAUGUAUAGAACAAACUGAUCUUGUCUACAUCUACCCAUCCCAUACUUUGGUAACAUAACUCAAGGUCAGCAAAAGACAUGUCUUUGUUUAAAUUUUGAAUUUAUGUGUUGUUUCCCAUUUCCCACUGAUCUAGCACCUGUUUUCCCUGUCAGUAUCAGAUUGUAUAAUGAUUAAUGCUUCCUAAUAUAGUUUUAAAAAUAGCUUUCAUGCUUAGAAUGUAAGGACAUACUCUCCGCCAAUAAGGAUAAGCCACCAAGGGCAAGAAGGGUUAAUAUUGCAUCAGGGAACAUAUAUUGUUUAUGAUGCUUAUGCUCAGAGCCUCACUUUUAUCUCUUGUAUGGUAGAGUGAUGUCUGCUUCUCAUGAGAAACAUAUAAAAACUUUUUCUUUAGACCUUGAGAGAUCUCUGAGACUUAUUGAGUAGGUUAGUUAACCACACAUCAGCAAUAUAAUAGUUUUUUUUCUUUUUUUUUAAACAAUAUCACUAAUAUGGGAAUGUUUUACAUUAUUGCACAUAUAUAAUCUGUAUCAAAUUGCUUACCAUCUUAGGGAGGAAGAAAAGAAAGGAGAGAGAAAAUUUGGAACUCAAAAAAUUUUUUAAAAGAGAGAAAAAGAUGGGGAAAAAAUCUCUUUACAUGUAACUGGGAAAAAAAUACCAUUUAAAAUAUACCAAUAUAUCCAGGAUUAUGGGACACAAUAGUAUAGGGAUGUGAAGAACAUAUGUAAAUAGAGUGCCCCAAAGAGAACAAAAAGGACAGUUCAUGAGUUUUAAAUUGUUAUGAAUAAUUAGUCGGUCAGUAAGCAUAUAUAAAGUGCCUAAUGUGUGCCAGGUACUAUGCUAAAUGCUAAGUUCCUGGAAAUGUUUUGCUAAUGAUGAAAGCAGGCACUUUUUUUUUUUUUUUUUUUUUUGUAAAUCAAAAAACAUCCUGUCACGAAAGUCAUUUUUACUAAAGAUUAUCUCCUUAUUUUUUCCAACCCCUGGAGUGCCUGCUCAAUAUAAGAACUAGAGAGAGCUUUUUAAAUGUUUUGAUUAUAAUAAAACUUCAAUAAGAUAAUUGAAUAGGGGGUGGUUAGAAGUUCAUUUUUACUAAGUAAGCCCUUUAUAAGUAAUCUAAAUUAAGAAUAUAAACCAAAGUGCAGAAAAGAAUGCUUAAAAUUUUGAAGAAAGCAAUUUCUAGCCCUUCUGGCUCUUCAGGCACAUGCUUAUAUUAUACAAUGAGCAUAACUAAUGACAAGUCAUUUUAUCUAUUCACACACACAGCUCUGGCAGAACACAAAUUGCCAAAGAUAUGAAGCCUAUGAUUGAAGGCCUAGAGAGUGAAAUUUUGUUUCUUAUAUACCCUGGUUCCUUUGGUAAGCAAAGGAACUUUAAAAAUUCAAGGAAAUAUCUUGGGACCCUGAAAAGUACCAAAAGACUGGAGUCAACUCAGCAACUCUGGUUGAAAAAAGGAUGGCAUGAAGGUAGAUUUCUUAACUACAGACUUGUGAUCCUGCAAAUUCCAGAAUGUUUGUUAAAAGAAUCAUUUGUGAGGAUUUAGAAAGGGCCACCAUAGAUUAACAGAAUCCAUCACAGAUUUAGAUCUGAAAGAGAUCCUCAAAGCUGUCUAGUUGGAGCCCCUCACUUAUCCACUUUGAAUGACUAGGACCAGAGAGUUUAGAAAGUAAGUCCUCCCACUUUUCUGAGACAGAGCCAUUAGACUGGUACAGUAUGGAGGAAUAUGACAAACACAGCACACAGAGCUUAUAAUGUGGAAUUUUAAAAGGUCUCCUAGAAUACCUUUAUGGAAAAGAGAAUGGUUAGUGUGGGCUAGAUUGUAAUAUGGCUAGUAAAUUUUUAACUGGUUUAGGAAACAGACCCCAAGAAUGGUGAUUAAUGGACCAAUGUCUAGCACUAUCAAGAAACAUCUCUAUUAGAGUGUUACAAGAUUGUCUGUGGCCGCAUUUUACCCAAUAUUUUUUAGCAGUGACACAUAGUUCAAUCUAUCAAUUAAGAAGUAUUUAUUAAUCACCUUCUGUGUGCAAAAGGCAUGCUCAUACAACUUUUCACUGACAGAAAGCUGGGACUGAAAGUUAACAGACAAGAUGACAGAAUAAGAAUCCCAGAUGUUGGCAGGUUGAAUGACAGGCCAAAUUGAUUAAGAUGAAGCUGAUUUUUGCUUAUUAGCUUUGCCAUGUCAAGAAUAGCAUGUUUAUAGGUUCAUACAUUGGAAACAGAAGGGACUUUGAAUAUUUAAAUCCCUAAAAAGGAUGUGAUAUGAAGAACUUGGAUUCUCCUCAAGCUUAAUUCUUCAUUUUACAGAUAAGGAAACUAAGUUAAAUAAGCCAUCCAGAUCACUCAACCAUCUCUUCUAAUUUUAGGGCCAUAAGCCCAGAAUGUGUUCAACAUGGUUAGCCAUCUUCCGAAAGAAAUGCUUCUACCAGACAGGGCCCCCACCACCCAGGGCUCAUUCUGAUUUGCUACUGUGCUUAGUACCCCAGAGGAAGUUUCAAAGGCCCCCAAUCUUCCUGAUAUUCUUAACAGGAGAGGACUUCCUUAAAACUAAAAAUCUCUUAACGCCAUUACAUUUCUCUCAAACUAAUAUAGACAACAAAAAAACUAUUAAAUUUUAAUUCUCUUUAAAGCCAGCCAUGAUGUACAAAACUGUCUACCAGGAAGCCAGUGCCUCUCUCAGCAGACAUCUCAUCAUCUGCCCUUUAGCUAUCACCAGGGACAGAGAGUCAAAAGUGGACCACACUUCAAAGACCAGAUAAUCUUCCCUUUGGAAGGCUCCCCUGUGGCUGAGCUAUCCAGAAUGGCCUACGGACUAAAAACACUGAAAUGAAACAAGGUAUUCCUGAAAGUUCCAACAAAAUCAGAAAGGAAAAUAUUAACAUGAUGAUAGAGAACUGGGUAGGAGGUGGUGCUUUUGAAGGAAACAAAGGAUUCCAAGGUGGAGAUGCAUUUCCAAAAUGUCCAGCAGGAAGGAGAAGAGAGGAAGAAAUCACAUCUGCAGGGUGACAGGAGGAAAGUUAAGGAGAAAAAGCAGAGCUCUCUGAUCAAGUAUUAAAUACUUUACAGC
Antechinus flavipes (yellow-footed antechinus) is the source of this 4187-nucleotide long non-coding RNA. RefSeq lists it as uncharacterized. NCBI's taxonomy places the organism in Eukaryota, Metazoa, Chordata, Mammalia, Dasyuromorphia, Dasyuridae. The record is from RefSeq and is a predicted model, not a curated record. The transcript is spliced from 3 exons.